This 64-nucleotide transfer RNA is filed under the name Cherax dispar. RNAcentral's name for it is "tRNA-Thr". It matches the Rfam family "tRNA". Rfam says of the family: Transfer RNA (tRNA) molecules are approximately 80 nucleotides in length. Their secondary structure includes four short double-helical elements and three loops (D, anti-codon, and T loops). Lineage: Eukaryota; Metazoa; Arthropoda; Malacostraca; Decapoda; Parastacidae. The record is from RNAcentral.
AGUUUUAAUAGUUUAAAUAAAAAUAUUGGUUUUGUAAACCAAAGAUGAGCUUCUCUCUUAAAAC